GGCCGCGUGGCGCACUGGAGCGCGCCUGACGCGCUGGCGUUGCGCCAGGUCGUGCCCGAGAACCGCCUGCGCGUGUACGACACCCGCAAGGCCA
This 94-nucleotide transfer RNA is filed under the name Helicobacter pylori. RNAcentral describes it as "tRNA-Ala". Lineage: Bacteria; Pseudomonadati; Campylobacterota; Epsilonproteobacteria; Campylobacterales; Helicobacteraceae. RNAcentral also lists the same sequence under 1 other name. The record is from RNAcentral.